This 274-nucleotide ribosomal RNA is filed under the name uncultured bacterium. RNAcentral describes it as "partial 16S ribosomal RNA". It matches the Rfam family "Bacterial small subunit ribosomal RNA", at positions 523 to 796 of the family's 1533-position model. The record is from RNAcentral.
AUACGGAGGGUGCAAGCGUUAAUCGGAAUUACUGGGCGUAAAGGGUACGUAGGCGGUUAUGUCAGUCGGAUGUGAAAGCCCCGGGCUCAACCUGGGAAUUGCAUUUGAUACUGCAUAGCUAGAGUUUGCUAGAGGGGAGCGGAAUUCCCGGUGUAGCGGUGAAAUGCGUAGAGAUCGGGAGGAACACCAGUGGCGAAGGCGGCUCUCUGGACCAAAACUGACGCUGAGGUACGAAAGCGUGGGUAGCAAACAGAAUUAGAAACCCCGGUAGUCC